GACAGAGGGUGCAAACGUUGUUCGGAAUUACUGGGCGUAAAGCGCGUGUAGGCGGCUAAGUAAGUCGGGCGUGAAAUCCCACGGCUCAACCGUGGAAGUGCACUCGAAACUGCAUAGCUAGAGUCCUGGAGAGGAAGGUGGAAUGCUUGGUGUAGAGGUGAAAUUCGUAGAUAUCAAGCGGAACACCGGUGGCGAAGGCGGCCUUCUGGACAGUAACUGACGCUGAGACGCGAAAGCGUGGGGAGCAAACAGG
Molecule: ribosomal RNA, 253 nt
Filed under: uncultured bacterium
Lineage: Bacteria
Description: partial 16S ribosomal RNA
Rfam family: Bacterial small subunit ribosomal RNA
Source: RNAcentral